RNAcentral lists this long non-coding RNA (250 nucleotides) under Panicum hallii. RNAcentral's name for it is "long non-coding RNA (PHAL_LNC000228)". The record is from RNAcentral. Lineage: Eukaryota; Viridiplantae; Streptophyta; Magnoliopsida; Poales; Poaceae.
CGGCGAAGGCAGAGCUCGCCGCCGAGCUCGCCAAGUACGCGGCAGAGGCUGGAGGGCUUAAACUGCUUGCCUGAAGUGAUGAAUCAUAUCACGAUUUGCCUGGAAUUUCUUACCUGGUGACGUUAUGUCGUGCCCAAGUAACGGAGAAAGAGUCGAGAUCUCAUGACAAAAUCGCUGAAUCUCUGUCCAAACUUUGUUCUACUACCAUUGCUUGAUCGCGUUCUACUUACUAUAUUAGUCUUGAACUGCU